Molecule: small nucleolar RNA, 112 nt
Organism: Sorghum bicolor (sorghum)
Lineage: Eukaryota; Viridiplantae; Streptophyta; Magnoliopsida; Poales; Poaceae
Rfam family: Plant small nucleolar RNA R71
About the family: R71 is a member of the C/D box family of snoRNAs containing the C (UGAUGA) and D (CUGA) box motifs. Multiple nearly identical copies of this snoRNA have been identified in Arabidopsis, and it is thought to function as a 2'-O-ribose methylation guide for 18S ribosomal RNA.
Source: Rfam
AUCCCAUGAUGAGGACAUUCUUCAAUGUAAUUCUAGAAUCUUUCCCAUGCUUCAGUGAAUGAUUCAUCAUGUUGUUGUUGUUGGAAACUUGAAAUCUUCCCACGCAGAGCAU